This 467-nucleotide ribosomal RNA is filed under the name uncultured bacterium. RNAcentral's name for it is "bacterial SSU rRNA". It matches the Rfam family "Bacterial small subunit ribosomal RNA", at positions 355 to 825 of the family's 1533-position model. The record is from RNAcentral.
UAGGGAAUAUUGGGCAAUGGAGGGAACUCUGACCCAGCCAUGCCGCGUGCAGGAUGAAGGCGUUAUGCGUUGUAAACUGCUUUUAUAUAGGAAGAAAUAGUCCUUGCGAGGAAAGUUGACGGUACUAUAUGAAUAAGCACCGGCUAACUCCGUGCCAGCAGCCGCGGUAAUACGGAGGGUGCAAGCGUUGUCCGGAUUUAUUGGGUUUAAAGGGUGCGUAGGCGGUUUAUUAAGUCAGUGGUGAAAGACGGUCGCUCAACGAUUGCAGUGCCAUUGAUACUGGUAGACUUGAGUAUGAUUGAGGUAGCUGGAAUGGAUAGUGUAGCGGUGAAAUGCAUAGAUAUUAUCCAGAACACCAAUUGCGUAGGCAAGUUACUAAGUCAUAACUGACGCUGAGGCACGAAAGUGUGGGUAUCGAAACAGGAUUAGAUACCCCAGUAGUCCCUGAGCGGGCUGGCAAGGCGCAU